GCACGAGAAAGGGAGCAAUCCCAAGUAAAGUGGCGUACGGGUGAGUAACACGUGGAUCAUCUACCUUCUGGUGGGGAAUACCCCCGGGAAACUGGGGACAAUUCCGCAUAAGUCCGAGAGGAGAAAGCAGCAAUGCGCCGGAAGAGGAGUCCGCGGCUGAUUAGCUUGUUGGCGGGGUAACAGCCCACCAAGGCGAAGAUCGGUAGCCGGCCUGAGAGGGCACACGGCCACACUGGCACUGAAACACGGGCCAGACUCCUACGGGAGGCAGCAGUGGGGAAUUUUGCGCAAUGGGGGAAACCCUGACGCAGCAACGCCGCGUGGAGGAUGAAGCCCUUUGGGGCGUAAACUCCUUUCGACCGGGAAGAUACUGACGGUACCGGUGGAAGAAGCACCGGCUAACUCUGUG
This 409-nucleotide ribosomal RNA is filed under the name uncultured bacterium. RNAcentral describes it as "bacterial SSU rRNA". It matches the Rfam family "Bacterial small subunit ribosomal RNA", at positions 64 to 507 of the family's 1533-position model. The record is from RNAcentral.